This 91-nucleotide transfer RNA is filed under the name Lingula anatina. It matches the Rfam family "tRNA". From Rfam's summary of the family: Transfer RNA (tRNA) molecules are approximately 80 nucleotides in length. Their secondary structure includes four short double-helical elements and three loops (D, anti-codon, and T loops). Lineage: Eukaryota; Metazoa; Brachiopoda; Lingulata; Lingulida; Lingulidae. The record is from Rfam by way of RNAcentral.
GCCUCGGUAGCGCAGUAGGCAGCGCGUCAGUCUCAUAAUCAAACCUACAUGGGUAAUCUGAAGGUCGUGAGUUCGAUCCUCACCCGGGGCA